Long non-coding RNA from Mastomys coucha (southern multimammate mouse), 524 nucleotides. RefSeq lists it as uncharacterized. The transcript is spliced from 2 exons. The record is from RefSeq and is a predicted model, not a curated record. Lineage: Eukaryota; Metazoa; Chordata; Mammalia; Rodentia; Muridae.
CGACAGUAACCGCUUGGAAGUCAGAAGCAAAGUUGGGAACCGCAGAGAGAGAUUUGUGUGUGUGCCAGUCCAUGGGGGACAAUAGAAGGCAUCAGAGCCCUUGGAGCUGGAGUUGCAGACGUUUGAGAGCUUCCUGACUUGGGUACUGUCAUUCAGUAGACACGUUUGACAGUACCCAUAGAGCAACAUAUACUCUUGAUGACUGACCCCUCUCUCCAGCCCCCCACGUUUUGACCUUUCUCCAGUCUUGGGUGAUCCCUCUGAGAGUCUGGGGAAUGACUGAAUUACUUGUCCUCAGGAAGUCUUGCACAUGCAUACAUUGCACACAUAUAAACACAGGAUGUACUGCAGGCGAUGCCAGAGGACUCAGAUUCCAGCACGGCUCCACGAAAGACAUCAAGCAAUAUUGUGAUAACAGUAGCAUCUUUGGCAAACAGGACAAAAUAAUGUAGGCCAUGGCUACAUGCAGGGGAGGGAUGGACAGACCAAGUCUGAAAUAAAACUGUGCCUUUGAGUAUCUAGAA